GGGCGCUUAGCUCAGUUGGUUAGAGCACCUCCCUUACAAGGAGGGGGUCGGGGGUUCGAGUCCCUCAGCGCCCACCG
RNAcentral lists this transfer RNA (77 nucleotides) under uncultured Acidimicrobiales bacterium. RNAcentral's name for it is "tRNA-Val-TAC". It matches the Rfam family "tRNA". From Rfam's summary of the family: Transfer RNA (tRNA) molecules are approximately 80 nucleotides in length. Their secondary structure includes four short double-helical elements and three loops (D, anti-codon, and T loops). Further hydrogen bonds mediate the characteristic L-shaped molecular structure. tRNAs have two regions of fundamental functional importance: the anti-codon, which is responsible for specific mRNA codon recognition, and the 3' end, to which the tRNAs corresponding amino acid is attached (by aminoacyl-tRNA synthetases). tRNAs cope with the degeneracy of the genetic code in two manners: having more than one tRNA (with a specific anti-codon) for a particular amino acid; and 'wobble' base-pairing, i.e. permitting non-standard base-pairing at the 3rd anti-codon position. Lineage: Bacteria; Bacillati; Actinomycetota; Acidimicrobiia; Acidimicrobiales. The record is from RNAcentral.